RNAcentral lists this ribosomal RNA (1499 nucleotides) under uncultured Klebsiella sp. Its description in RNAcentral is "bacterial SSU rRNA". It matches the Rfam family "Bacterial small subunit ribosomal RNA". The record is from RNAcentral. Lineage: Bacteria; Pseudomonadati; Pseudomonadota; Gammaproteobacteria; Enterobacterales; Enterobacteriaceae.
AGAGUUUGAUCCUGGCUCAGAUUGAACGCUGGCGGCAGGCCUAACACAUGCAAGUCGAGCGGUAGCACAGAGAGCUUGCUCUCGGGUGACGAGCGGCGGACGGGUGAGUAAUGUCUGGGAAACUGCCUGAUGGAGGGGGAUAACUACUGGAAACGGUAGCUAAUACCGCAUAACGUCGCAAGACCAAAGUGGGGGACCUUCGGGCCUCAUGCCAUCAGAUGUGCCCAGAUGGGAUUAGCUAGUAGGUGGGGUAACGGCUCACCUAGGCGACGAUCCCUAGCUGGUCUGAGAGGAUGACCAGCCACACUGGAACUGAGAUACGGUCCAGACUCCUACGGGAGGCAGCAGUGGGGAAUAUUGCACAAUGGGCGCAAGCCUGAUGCAGCCAUGCCGCGUGUGAAGAAGGCCUUCGGGUUGUAAAGCACUUUCAGCGGGGAGGAAGGCGUUAAGGUUAAUAACCUUGGCGAUUGACGUUACCCGCAGAAGAAGCACCGGCUAACUCCGUGCCAGCAGCCGCGGUAAUACGGAGGGUGCAAGCGUUAAUCGGAAUUACUGGGCGUAAAGCGCACGCAGGCGGUCUGUCAAGUCGGAUGUGAAAUCCCCGGGCUCAACCUGGGAACUGCAUUCGAAACUGGCAGGCUAGAGUCUUGUAGAGGGGGGUAGAAUUCCAGGUGUAGCGGUGAAAUGCGUAGAGAUCUGGAGGAAUACCGGUGGCGAAGGCGGCCCCCUGGACAAAGACUGACGCUCAGGUGCGAAAGCGUGGGGAGCAAACAGGAUUAGAUACCCUGGUAGUCCACGCCGUAAACGAUGUCGAUUUGGAGGUUGUGCCCUUGAGGCGUGGCUUCCGGAGCUAACGCGUUAAAUCGACCGCCUGGGGAGUACGGCCGCAAGGUUAAAACUCAAAUGAAUUGACGGGGGCCCGCACAAGCGGUGGAGCAUGUGGUUUAAUUCGAUGCAACGCGAAGAACCUUACCUGGUCUUGACAUCCACAGAGCUUUCCAGAGAUGGAUUGGUGCCUUCGGGAACUGUGAGACAGGUGCUGCAUGGCUGUCGUCAGCUCGUGUUGUGAAAUGUUGGGUUAAGUCCCGCAACGAGCGCAACCCUUAUCCUUUGUUGCCAGCGGUCCGGCCGGGAACUCAAAGGAGACUGCCAGUGAUAAACUGGAGGAAGGUGGGGAUGACGUCAAGUCAUCAUGGCCCUUACGACCAGGGCUACACACGUGCUACAAUGGCAUAUACAAAGAGAAGCGACCUCGCGAGAGCAAGCGGACCUCAUAAAGUAUGUCGUAGUCCGGAUUGGAGUCUGCAACUCGACUCCAUGAAGUCGGAAUCGCUAGUAAUCGUAGAUCAGAAUGCUACGGUGAAUACGUUCCCGGGCCUUGUACACACCGCCCGUCACACCAUGGGAGUGGGUUGCAAAAGAAGUAGGUAGCUUAACCUUCGGGAGGGCGCUUACCACUUUGUGAUUCAUGACUGGGGUGAAGUCGUAACAAGGUAACC